CAAGGCUAGGGAACGAACCCGCAUCUUCAUGGAUACUGAUCGGAUUCUUUUCCUCUGCCCAGGAACUUCUCAUUCCACUUUAAAUUGUUUCUAGAAGUUUAAGGAUAAGAGUUGGGAUUGAAGAAGUAGCAAGCAAAGCAGACAAGUGGAGGAAAGCUGUUGAAGUACCGUGGAAAUGAUGGAGGGUACCCUGUGAUAAGAAUCAGCAACAACCGGAGGUUGAGUCACUCCUGGUGGCCAGCCAGAAAGAAAAUGGAACCUCAGUCCUACAACCUCAAGGAUCUAAACUCAGCCAACAACCUGAAUGAAGUUGGAAGUGGAUUCUUCCUUAGAACCUUCAGAAAGAACAUAGGCUGGCUGGCAGCUUGGUUUCAGCCUAAUGAUAUUCUGAUCAGAGAGAACCUUGCAUAUCAAGCUGGACUUCUGAAAUAUAGAAUUCUUUGGACCAAGACUGAACACCCAGAAGAGCUGCAGUGGCAGCAUGGACAGCCCAGAUCCUGAGAGAAGUGUCUCUUUUUCCCUACAGUAAGAGGAACGGAGUUACUUUGACCAGAAGAAAGAGCAUUCUGGAGAUAAGGGAGCUGGGAGAGUUGAGAACUGGCAGUUCAAAAGGAUAUUGCUGAAGCUAUAGUCACAAGCAUGGUUGGGAAAAGAAGCAUGGCUGAGAGAGCACAGAGAUGGAAACCUCAGGAUAAAAUUCAGUGGCCGAAGGCUGAGUGAAGUUUACGUUAGCUGUGGUUAUGAAGCGGGUGAGUGACUGAACCUCUGUUUCUCUUUUGUUUAUUUUGUCUUGUGCUAGCUUUUAUACACCAUAAAAUAAAAAAGGCAUAAUCUUGCCUUCAUAGUUAACAUAUAGAUUUGUUUGCCUGGUGGCACAGUGGGUUAAGGAUUUGGCAUUGUCACUGUGGUG
Long non-coding RNA from Phacochoerus africanus (Common warthog), 910 nucleotides. RefSeq lists it as uncharacterized. The record is from RefSeq and is a predicted model, not a curated record. The transcript is spliced from 5 exons. Lineage: Eukaryota; Metazoa; Chordata; Mammalia; Artiodactyla; Suidae.